ACCAAACCAUCGUCAGCACCAUCGGAGACCCCUUGAGUUCAAGGAGGAUUCAGAACUGCAGAAUGAAGAAAAUCCUUUUUGGGUCCCUGAAAGACUCACCCGAAUCUUGUUGGAUCAAGAAAGGCAUACAACCCAGCCACCCAGUAAAGAUGAGUAGGCCCCUUCUGCUGAUGAUCCUGACAAUCGAAGUCGGGCUCGUUUAAGGGGAACCACGCUGGGGUAUCAUGUCAACCUUCCCGCUGCCUAUGCUGGUGAUGUAUAAUGCCCAAGUUUACCCCAGAUUCUUUGUAACUAAUAAAAAUUUAGGCCUUGCCUAUCUACCCCGAGAUGAGCAGAUUGAGGAGCUUAUGGAAAACAGGACUAUACCCCUUAAGGGAAGUCUGUGUUUUCUAGUAGAAGGAAAUAAUUUUAGCAGCCCCUGUAUUAUACUAGGAAAUCUUUCUUCAGCAUGGUUGAAAGAAGCCACGGUUGGUGGCAAAGCCUUUAACAUCGUGGCAAAUGCCACAGUACUCUAUGGGUGGUGGCCACGGUCUCCCACUACUAAUAAAACUUCUGCCCCACCGAUUCAACCAAAAUUGGCCCCGUUUUGUACUGGCCGACAAGAUAAAGGAUUGGCCUUGCCAUGGACGGGAUGCCAAUCCAGGGAUGCCAUGUGGGCCGUGGAAGGCCUGUUCUCUUUUUCUCCCAAUAUAGGGAGAGGAUCAAAUUUUACUGUCAUGGACCCCGACCAAGCUAACACAAACCCUUUUGAUCAGUGGUUGCUCUGUGGAGUUAAUGGAAGCUGCACAGAGCAUUAAUGAUCUGUCCGCCACAGUAUUUCUGGCUAUAGAUAAGCAGACCUCCGCUAAUACUCAAAUACAAGGAGGCCUUAUGUUGGUCAAUCAACGCAUUGAUCUAGUACAAGAGCAGUUGGAUAUUUCAUGGCAAAUGGCACAGCUGGGGUGUGUGCAGAAGCUCCCUGGCCUAUGUAUUACUUCUAUCCCAUAUGAAAAUUUUACUAGAGCAGCUAAUCUAUUUAAGAGCCUUUCUCAGUACAUUUUGCAGAAUUGGACUUCUGAAUUUGAGCAGACGCUCCGCGAACUGAGGACGGCCGUACUCCAGAUCAACUCCACACGUCUUGAUCUUUCCUUCACCGAGGGACUGUCAUCUUGGAUCUCUUCAGCUGUUUCCUACUUCAAGGAAUGGGUGGGAGUGGGAAUGUUUGGUAUGGCCGUCUGCUGCGGACUGGUAUUUCUCCUAUGGAUGGUCUGCAGACUCAGAACCCAAAAUAAGCGAGACAAGGUGGUUAUUGCGCAUGCACUUGCGGCCCUGGAACAUGGGGCUUCCACUGACGUGUGGUUGACUAUGCUCAAGCAAUAGAUUGCUGACAAGAUAGCUCUUGCACGCCCAGAACCUAGGUUCAUUGCACUGGGCAGAGUGUCCAACACAGCACCCAAAGAGGGUUGUUGAAUAAGGUAUCGCACAGGGGGUCAUUGUCCCGCUGAGAGACAUGUCGUUCCGCAUAAGGGUUGCCUGCCCGAGUUUC
Long non-coding RNA from Nannospalax galili (Upper Galilee mountains blind mole rat), 1525 nucleotides. RefSeq lists it as uncharacterized. The record is from RefSeq and is a predicted model, not a curated record. The transcript is spliced from 2 exons. NCBI's taxonomy places the organism in Eukaryota, Metazoa, Chordata, Mammalia, Rodentia, Spalacidae.